UAGAGUUUCGAUCCUGGCUCAGGACGAACGCUGGCGGCGUGCUUAACACAUGCAAGUCGAACGAUGAAGCCCCUUCGGGGUGGAUUAGUGGCGAACGGGUGAGUAACACGUGGGCAAUCUGCCCUGCACUCUGGGACCAAGCCCUGGAAACGGGGUCUAAUACCGGAUACGACCAUCUGAGGCAUCUCAUGGUGGUGGAAAGCUCCGGCGGUGCAGGAUGAGCCCGCGGCCUAUCAGCUUGUUGGUGAGGUAACGGCUCACCAAGGCGACGACGGGUAGCCGGCCUGAGAGGGCGACCGGCCACACUGGGACUGAGACACGGCCCAGACUCCUACGGGAGGCAGCAGUGGGGAAUAUUGCACAAUGGGCGCAAGCCUGAUGCAGCGACGCCGCGUGAGGGAUGACGGCCUUCGGGUUGUAAACCUCUUUCAGCAGGGAAGAAGCGUAAGUGACGGUACCUGCAGAAGAAGCGCCGGCUAACUACGUG
Molecule: ribosomal RNA, 487 nt
Filed under: uncultured Streptomyces sp.
Lineage: Bacteria; Bacillati; Actinomycetota; Actinomycetes; Kitasatosporales; Streptomycetaceae
Description: bacterial SSU rRNA
Rfam family: Bacterial small subunit ribosomal RNA
Source: RNAcentral